Hemicordylus capensis (graceful crag lizard) is the source of this 1377-nucleotide long non-coding RNA. RefSeq lists it as uncharacterized. The transcript is spliced from 3 exons. The record is from RefSeq and is a predicted model, not a curated record. Lineage: Eukaryota; Metazoa; Chordata; Lepidosauria; Squamata; Cordylidae.
UAAAGAACGCCCUUUCUGUUUUCUGCCCACAACUGCUAUAAGAUUUUCUUAUCUUCUUCAAAACAUGUAGAAAGUACAUCCAAAUGCUGCAGAAAAACAUCAGGUUGAAAAUGCAGAAAAGCAUCCUGUGCAACGAAAGAAAUAACUCUGAAAUACAAAGAGGGGAAGACAACAAUGGUGUGUUUAAUUUUUAAGGCAAGUUUGGAGUGCUGUGAAAUGCCUGCAGAGCUGGCAAGAAAAAAGCAUACUCAGUCUCUCAGUUUGUAUUGAUUGAUUGAUUUGAUUUGAUGCCGCCCUUCCAAAAAUGGCACAGGGUAGCCAAUGCUCUUACCCUGAAGACAAAUCUAUUGGAAACACAUUUUUUCUUGCUUGGCAAAAUUUUGAAUUGCUCCUGUAUCUUAUUCCCCACCCCCACAAGUUCUGCUAUGCUGCCUUAUCUUGGCAGGGGUGUUCCUGGGAGGGAUGAUGUGCGAAGUGUGGGAGGUAUACUCCCAGUAGGGCCACCCAACCUGCAUUCUGAAGGUCAUCCCAGCUAAAGCAAGCAGGCACCUAUAUUGGGCAGCAGCAAUAUAGGAAGGUGCUGGAGGCCAGCCGGCACCUUAGUGACAAUGACAAAGACAUCAUUCCACACUGCGGGGGAGAAGGCAACAGUAAACCACUCCUGUAUUUUACCAGGAAAAUCAUAUGGAUAGACAAGGAGCAGUGGUGAAGGUGGUCAGGAACUGGCACCUAUGAAGUACCAAAGCAGCAAAUGAACAUGGAUGAUGCCAGUAGUGCCCUGGAUGUGCAGUUUUGGGAGUGGCCAGACCUGAACAGGCAGGGAGGUUUCUUUUGCUUCCUGUGGAACAUGGAAAGAAGAUGGAGUAGUGGUAAUUAGGCAGCCACACUGCUAAAAUGUUACAUAUUGUUAAACCUUUAGUUUCUUUGAUUACAGAUGAAAUAAAUGUGGUAUAAAAUGGAACACUAGUUUAUGUUUAUCUACAAUUACAAGGAACUAUGAAGACAAAUGAUGAUCUGUUUGGGGAAAAGCAUGUUCUUGUUCUUGAAAAUUAGUUUAUUCCCAUGAAAGUUAGAUGACUGUGUAGGAUUUUGAAUGACACAGAAACAUGAAAUAGCUCUGAAAGCAUUGGUCACACAAACCUUUGGAGAUUUUUUUUUUUAAAGUUACCAGGAAUUGCAAAUUAAUGGGGCAGAAUGAUGAUUAGCAGUAAAAGCAUCUUAAGGGUUGGAUAACUGACUACCCAUGAUGACUUUCUAUUGGAAGAUUAUCAGUGGUGCCAUUCUGACCAGACCUCCGGGCGCAAGUCUGGGUGGCAGCGCCCCACACACUCUGUGGGGGCCCCCUUGCUGCUCAGCACUCCAACCCCGAGUCCCUCC